RNAcentral lists this ribosomal RNA (468 nucleotides) under uncultured bacterium. RNAcentral's name for it is "partial 16S ribosomal RNA". It matches the Rfam family "Bacterial small subunit ribosomal RNA", at positions 28 to 507 of the family's 1533-position model. The record is from RNAcentral.
GACGAACGCUGGCGGCGGGCUUAACACAUGCAAGUCGAACGGAAAGGCCCUGCUUUUGUGGGGUGCUCGAGUGGCGAUCGGGUGAGUAACACGUGUGUAACCUGCCCUUGAUUUUGGGAUAACUUCAGGAAACUGAGGCUAAUACCGUAUAGGAUCUCCUGUUGCAGGGUGGGGGUGGGAUAUUUGCGGCUGGCGGGGAUGGAUGCGCGGCUUAUCAGCUAGUUGGUUGGGUAGUGGCUUACCAAGGGUUUGACGGGUAGCCGGCAUGAGAGGGUGACCGGCGUCAUUAGGCCUGAGAUACGGAGCAGAGUGAUACAGGAGACAACAGUGGGGAAUAUUGCACAAUCGGAGGAAGUGUGAUGAAGAAGCGCUCGGUGUGGGAUGACGGCCUUCGGGUGAUGAACAGCAUUCGGUUAUGACGACGCGUGACUGACGGUAAUGAAAAAAGAAGCACCGGCUAACUACGUG